Molecule: ribosomal RNA, 970 nt
Filed under: Panaeolus subbalteatus
Lineage: Eukaryota; Fungi; Basidiomycota; Agaricomycetes; Agaricales
Description: LSU rRNA
Rfam family: Eukaryotic large subunit ribosomal RNA
Source: RNAcentral
GACCUCAAAUCAGGUAGGACUACCCGCUGAACUUAAGCAUAUCAAUAAGCGGAGGAAAAGAAACUAACAAGGAUUCCCCUAGUAACUGCGAGUGAAGCGGGAAAAGCUCAAAUUUAAAAUCUGGCAGUCUUUGAUUGUCCGAGUUGUAAUCUAGAGAAGCAUUAUCCGCGCUGGACCGUGUACAAGUCUCCUGGAAUGGAGCGUCAUAGAGGGUGAGAAUCCCGUCUUUGACACGGACUGCCAGGGCUUUGUGAUGUGCUCUCAAAGAGUCGAGUUGUUUGGGAAUGCAGCUCAAAAUGGGUGGUAAAUUCCAUCUAAAGCUAAAUAUUGGCGAGAGACCGAUAGCGAACAAGUACCGUGAGGGAAAGAUGAAAAGAACUUUGGAAAGAGAGUUAAACAGUACGUGAAAUUGCUGAAAGGGAAACGCUUGAAGUCAGUCGCGUUGGCCGGGAAUCAACCUUGCUUUUGCUGGGCGUACUUCCUGGUUAACGGGUCAGCAUCAAUUUUGACCGUUGGAUAAAGUUGUUGGGAAUGUGGCAUCUUCGGAUGUGUUAUAGCCCAGUUUCGUAUACAACGGUUGGGAUUGAGGAACUCAGCACGCCGCAAGGCCGGGUUUUUAACCACGUUCGUGCUUAGGAUGCUGGCAUAAUGGCUUAAAUCGACCCGUCUUGAAACACGGACUAAGGAGUCUAACAUGCCUGCGAGUGUUUGGGUGGAAAACCCGAGCGCGUAAUGAAAGUGAAAGUUGAGAUCCCUGUCGUGGGGAGCAUCGACGCCCGGACUUGAACUUUUGUGACGGAUCCGCGGUAGAGCAUGUAUGUUGGGACCCGAAAGAUGGUGAACUAUGCCUGAAUAGGGUGAAGCCAGAGGAAACUCUGGUGGAGGCUCGUAGCGAUUCUGACGUGCAAAUCGAUCGUCAAAUUUGGGUAUAGGGGCGAAAGACUAAUCGAACCAUCUAGUAGCUGGUUCC